GUCUGUGUGACAAGGAGGAAGGGAAAGCGUGGAGAAGUCUUAACCCUCGCAACCUUCCCUCUAGCAAACGAAUCUGUGAUCAAAUUCCCCAAUUUCUAAUGGCCUCUGGAUUUAGCGGCGAUGAAACAGCGCCGUUCUUCGGCUUCCUUGGUGCUGCCGCUGCCCUUGUUUUCUCUUGCAUGGGAGCUGCUUAUGGGACUGCCAAGAGCGGUGUUGGAGUUGCCUCAAUGGGUGUGAUGAGACCGGAGCUUGUGAUGAAAUCAAUAGUUCCCGUAGUCAUGGCUGGAGUUCUCGGUAUCUAUGGAUUGAUCAUUGCUGUUAUUAUUAGCACUGG
RNAcentral lists this unclassified non-coding RNA (334 nucleotides) under Hevea brasiliensis (rubber tree). The record is from RNAcentral. Lineage: Eukaryota; Viridiplantae; Streptophyta; Magnoliopsida; Malpighiales; Euphorbiaceae.